Molecule: RNA transcript, 940 nt
Organism: Malania oleifera
Lineage: Eukaryota; Viridiplantae; Streptophyta; Magnoliopsida; Santalales; Ximeniaceae
Gene name: LRR receptor-like serine/threonine-protein kinase ERECTA
Exons: 8
Source: RefSeq, a predicted model, not a curated record
AUCCAUUAAUUAAUUGAUCUGUAAAACCCCAACACUCCCUCCACUCUUCUUUCUGGCAUGUGCGUGUCCUCUCCGGCCAUCCCCGCCGCCGCCUUUGCUCGCGUGAACUCCUCCUGCCGCCGUUGUUGCCGCUCCUCGCCUGAGGUCGUUCCAACGUCACUACCGCCGCCACUCGCCUGAGGAAAUUUCUUUCAAUUUGAUCAUUACAGAUUACAGCAUGCCGAGAAUGAUAGGUUAUGAUCUUCUUAAAAAGAUAAAGGGUUUCAAUGUUUGAAGGAGAAAUGCUUUUGGAAAUCAAGAAGUCAUUUCGGGAUGUGGACAACAUACUGUAUGACUGGACGGAUUCUCCAUCUUCGGACUACUGUGUAUGGAGGGGAGUAACAUGUGAUAAUGUCACCUUCAGUGCCAUUGCCCUUAAUCUUUCGGGUUUGAAUCUCGAUGGGGAAAUCUCCCCUGCCAUUGGAGAUCUCAAAAGCCUACUCACUCUUGAUUUGAGGGGAAACCGUUUCUCUGGACAGAUCCCAGAUGAGAUUGGUGACUGUUCUUCUUUGAAAAGCCUAUUCCUAACCUGAAAAUUUUACUUGGCCUCAAAUAAAUUAAACGGGGAGAUACCAAGGCUUACAUACUGGAACGAAGUUUUGCAGAUUCUUUAGGCGAGCAGAUCAGGCUUGCAGGUAGAGAAGUUCUUGCGCUGCCCUUUUUGGAAGGGUGAGUGUGUCUUGGCUGUUGGUUGUUUGGGAUAGAUUCCAGGGUUUUUGAUUGAUGUCACUGGGUAUUUUGUGAUGUAUAUUUUAGGAUUCUGUAAAUUUCUGGUAUUGUAAAUAUAGUAUACAGUUUUAUGUUUACUGUUGCUUAGGAAUGUAUUAUGUACAAAGUUUCCUCAGUGUUCUUUUGGGCCUGAGAUGUGUUCAACAGAUAAUACGGGGAGAUUUGCUAUAUA